This 2379-nucleotide long non-coding RNA is filed under the name Sus scrofa (pig). RNAcentral's name for it is "lncRNA (ENSSSCG00055020361.1)". The record is from RNAcentral. Lineage: Eukaryota; Metazoa; Chordata; Mammalia; Artiodactyla; Suidae.
GUUUUGUGUCUAUCCUUUAGUAGAAUAAGGAUGUUCCCUCUUGUUCCAUUGUCAGCCUAACCAGAAUCUUUUUAAAGCCAUCAUCAGGGAUGUACUCUCUACAAUGAGACCAUCUCUUCACUAAAUGGUAUUGGGAAAACUGGACAGCCACGUGCAAAAGAAUGUAACUUUCUACCACUGUCUUACACCAUGCACAAAAAAUUAACUCAGAAUGGAUUAAAGACUCCAAACUAAAAAUCCUAGAAGAAAACAAAGGUGGUAAUAAGCUCCUCGACAUACAUCUUGGUGAUGAUUGCUUAAAUCUGACAUCAAAAGCAAAAGCAACAAAAUCAAAAAUAUAGGUUCAUUUACUGUUGGGAUGCUCAAGAUCGAUCUACCAGACAGCCUGGAAUUCUCCUGUUUAGACAUCCACCUAAGCCUCUGACGUCACCUUUCGCAGUCGACGGAGGAUGGACUGCGUUUGUGAAAGAGCUGUUCUUCAGUACUGAAAAGAGACUGAGGAAUCCAUUGUGAAUGGACUUGGGCAGCUUUGUUUGUUCAGUUUAUAAACAGUUUGAAAGUUCUGAAACUUGCCCAGAACGCUUUGGCUUAGAGACGGCUGUGUAAAAUUGCAUAAAAACAAGUUUAGUUUCACAUUGUCCCUAACGGUGGCCAUGUGACAAAUAUUUUCCUUUUGAAGGUUUAAAAUAUUCGUUUGGCUGUUUAAUCCAGAUAUGCCAUCAAAUAUCCCCAUUUCCCCGCAACAGUUCAAAAAUUAUUCAUACUACAAAAAGUAUUUUCAAAAGAGUAUAAUUUUUAUCAAAGAACAAAACAUUUAAAAACAAGAACUUGUUAUUAUUUACAUUUGCAAGUGCAUUCUUGGUUUUUUUUAGGCUCUAUUUUAUACAGCAGUUUUAGAUUUACAGAAAAAAGUUGAGAAGGUAGUAUAGAGAGGUCCCACAGAGCCCAUACCCAGUCUCGCAUACAUCAACAUCAUCUGUUAGGUAAAUGUGCCACAGUUAAUGAACCAAUAUUAAUUUAUUAUUUCUAACUAAAGCCCAUAGUUUAUUCAGAUUUCUUUAGGUUUUACCUAAUAUCCAUUUAUGUUCCAGGACCCCAUCAAAGAUAGCACGUCACAUUCAGUUUCAAGUAUCCUUAGGUUGUUACCUUUGGCUGUGAUAGUUUGUUAGACUUCCCUUGUUCUUCAUGACCAUAAGAGUUUUGAGGAUUGUUGGUCAAAAAUUUUGUAGACUGCUUCUCAAUUAGAACUUUUCUGGAGUCUCCAUUAUGGCUUAGCAGAAACAAAUGUGACUAGUAUCCAUGAGGAUAGAGGUUCGAUUCCUGGCCUCUCUCAGUGGGUUAAGGAUGCAGCGUUGCCAUGAGCUGCAGUGUAGGUCACAGAUGCGGCUCAGAUCUGACGUUGCUGGGCUGUGGUGUGGGCCAGCAGCCCCAGCUCCAAUUCAACCCCUAGCCUUGGAAUCUCCAUAUGCCUCAGGUAUGGCCCUAAAAAGACCAACUCCCACCCCCCUGAAAAAAAAACCCAGAACUUUUCUGGUGUUUCAUUAUUAGACAGGUAUAUGGAUUUGGGGCAGAAAAAUUACAAAGGUAAUUUAUUUUCACCACAUCAUAGCAAGGGUAUACACAGUAUCAAUAAAUUUAUCAAAUGUUAAUAUUCACUUUAAUCACCUGGCUGAGAUAGUGCUGGUUAAGUUUCUCCACAGUCAGGUUAGUCUUUUUUUUUGCCCUAUUUCUAAAUUGAAAUCUUUGAAAGGAAAUCGCUAUACACAGCCUACUUUUAAGGAGUGGGGAUUUAGUUCUUGAAGGCAGAGUACUCACAUAAUUUAUUUGGAUUUUUUUCUGCAAGGAAGAUCUGUCUCUUCUCUACAAUUUAUUUAUUUAUUCAAUAACUUAUUUACAUCAAUAUGAACCCAUGGAUGUUUAUUUCCUACUUUGGGUUUUAGUCUAAUACUAAUUUAUUUUGUUGUUCAAAUUCUCCUUGGCUUUGGCCAUUGGGAGCUCUUCCAGUGGACUCCAAUGUUCCUUUACUAUGCACCUAUCAAUGUAGAGGUAGGUUUUGCUGUCGCUAUUUUAGAAUUGUCUUUCCCCCUGGUAAUUAUAAGAUGGUCCCAACUUAUCCCAUGUAUCUCCUAUCCCAGUUCUAGAAUCAGCUAUUUCUCCAAAGAAUCCUUGAACCUUUUAGACUGAGUGUGCUUGUUGUUCCUUGAGUGACGCUUCUAAGUCUUCUUAGCUGAUAGAGAAAAGAAAGUUAUGUGUGUAUGAUGCUUCUAAGUCUUCUUAGCUGAUAGAGAAAAGAAAGUUAUGUGUGUAUUGCUAUAUGUAACAAUCUCUAUGCAUAUUGAGCUAACCAUGAGUUUAUAUAAGUCUCCAACUUCACUAUAU